Molecule: long non-coding RNA, 474 nt
Filed under: Erythranthe guttata (spotted monkey flower)
Lineage: Eukaryota; Viridiplantae; Streptophyta; Magnoliopsida; Lamiales; Phrymaceae
Description: long non-coding RNA (EGUT_LNC000902)
Source: RNAcentral
UCAAAAACACUUUUCUGUUAAUCCGAACCCCAAAUUCAAAAUCCCCAAUUCCAAAACCUAUCUUCAAAUCCGAUGGGCGUUCUUCCGGCGAGCUACGACUGCGAUUCCGACCGAUUCGGAUCGAUCCUUCCUCCUCCGCUCGCCGGAGAUUCAUCACCCCUUCGCUGCCGAUCUGGUAUUUCCGGCAGCUCUACUGUUUCAUCUUCUGCUGUUAUGGUUGAACUUGAUACUAUCAAAAUACUGUUUCAUCUUCUGCUGUUAUGGUUGAACUUGAUACUAUCAAAAUAUCAAUCGAGGAGGGGAAAUUAGAAAUAAAACAGGAUAUUAGAAAUUUUACCACGGAUAUAUUACUUGCAAUUGAAAAAAUCCAGAAUGCAAUGGGUGAAGUGACAGGUGGAAGUACGGAGGAGAUCAAAAUCUCUGGUGACAAGAUUGAAGAGAACUUCGCCGAGAUUAAAAACCGCUGCGCAGGGU